CAUUUUGUGACUCCUCCUUGGGAUGCAAGAUGGGGAAUGCAGUUCAGACUCAGGCAGUCCUGGCUCCAGUCCCCACUGUCUCAAGCCACAGUUCAACGUCUGUCUCUCUGUCUCUCUCUGUCUCUCUCAUCAAACAAGCAUGUUACAGCCGUGCUCUGCUACCAGCAGGCUCCUGCGUGGCUACAUCCGGACUCCGGGGCGCAGAAGGAGGCGCGAAAGAAUGUCUGGCCUCAUAUCCGGCUAGACUUGUGUGGCCUCUCUGCCCUGCCUCGUGGCUAGUGCCCCUGGGAGCAGAGCCAGCCUCAGGGAAUGUCACCCCACGUUGGGAUGAGUCACCCCACCACCCCUGGCCUUCAGCUAAAGCAGAUUCUCCCGCCACCCCCCUUGGCACUGGAUCAAGGCCUUGUCUACCCUUGGAAGGCUUCAUAAUCCCAGAAAUAUAGGGCUACAAGAGACCUCAAAAGGCUAUCCAGCCUAUCUCCCUGUGCUGAGGCAGUACACAAGAUACCUGGAAGGUCCCACAGAGAUGUCCUGGAGAAAUCUCCAAUGAAGGGAAUUCUACCUCUUCUCCAGCAGCAGCAACCCACACAAUCCAGAGGAGAGGAGUCUUCAGGCAUGAUUGACAGCCAGUUACCAGCCCCAGGGAGCUUCAAACAAAAGAGGCCCAGAC
This is a long non-coding RNA of Alligator sinensis (Chinese alligator), 670 nucleotides long. RefSeq lists it as uncharacterized. Lineage: Eukaryota; Metazoa; Chordata; Crocodylia; Alligatoridae. The record is from RefSeq and is a predicted model, not a curated record. The transcript has 3 exons.